Molecule: small nucleolar RNA, 102 nt
Organism: Podarcis muralis (Common wall lizard)
Lineage: Eukaryota; Metazoa; Chordata; Lepidosauria; Squamata; Lacertidae
Gene: SNORD125
Product: small nucleolar RNA SNORD125
Source: Ensembl
UAGCCAGGGAGCCUCUUGUGAUGAUCCUUGUGUCGCUGAAUGGCUGGUUUGAUGAACCAACCUCGCCCUCUAAGAAGUUGACUGAAGAGGCUUAACCAGCUA